GCCUGCGUGAUGGAAUGGUAGACAUAAGAGACUUAAAAUCUCUGGAACUUAGUUCGUGGCGGUUCAAGUCCGCCCGCGGGUACCA
Molecule: transfer RNA, 85 nt
Filed under: Rickettsiales bacterium
Lineage: Bacteria; Pseudomonadati; Pseudomonadota; Alphaproteobacteria; Rickettsiales
Description: tRNA-Leu
Rfam family: tRNA
About the family: Transfer RNA (tRNA) molecules are approximately 80 nucleotides in length.
Source: RNAcentral